Molecule: ribosomal RNA, 468 nt
Filed under: uncultured bacterium
Lineage: Bacteria
Description: partial 16S ribosomal RNA
Rfam family: Bacterial small subunit ribosomal RNA
Source: RNAcentral
GACGAACGCUGGCGGCGUGCUUAACACAUGCAAGUCGAACGGACAGGCCCUGCUUUUGUGGGGUGCUCGAGUGGCGAACGGGUGAGUAACACGUGAGUAACCUGCCCUUGACUUUGGGAUAACUUCAGGAAACUGGGGCUAAUACCGGAUAGGAGCUCCUGCUGCAUGGUGGGGGUUGGAAAGUUUCGGCGGUUGGGGAUGGACUCGCGGCUUAUCAGCUUGUUGGUGGGGUAGUGGCUUACCAAGGCUUUGACGGGUAGCCGGCCUGAGAGGGUGACCGGCCACAAUGGGACUGAGAUACGGCCCAGACUCCUACGGGAGGCAGCAGUGGGGAAUAUUGCACAAUGGGCGGAAGCCUGAUGCAGCAACGCCGCGUGCGGGAUAACGGCCUUCGGGUUGUAAACCGAUUUCGCCUGUGACUAAGCGUGAGUGACGGUAAUGGGUAAAGAAGCAACGGCUAACUACGUG